GAGACAUUACACCGGUUUUAAGGUCUCUGUACUGGCUGCCUGUGAGUUUUAGAAUACAUUUUAAGAUUGUUUUUUUAAAUCAAUCCACGAUUGUGCACCCCAAUACAUGUCUGACAUGUUUUUAGUUAUGUACCCAGUAGGUCCCUCAGGUCCUCUGGCACUGGCCUUUUAACGAUCCCAAAGCCUAGGACCAAGAGGCAUGGAGGGGCAGCCUUUAGUUACUAUGCCACCAGCCUCUGUAAUAGCCUGCCAGAGAACCUGAAGGGGGUCCAAACUGCCGGCGCCGACAGAGAUGGCCGCCUCGCUUCGCGUUCCUAGGAAAUUAUGCAGGAUUUUGAUUUGACUGUGGACAUUUUUAAAAGAGAUCUUAAAACAUUCAUUUUUAUCUUUGCUUUUCCUUAGGGUGCUUUUUAGUUAUUCAGUUGUUAUUGUUAUUCUUUAGUUUUUUUUAUCCUCUUAUGUUUGAUGAGUAGUAAAUGUUUAAGUUGUUUUUUUUAUCCUCUUAUGUUUGAUGAGUAGUAAAUGUUUAAGUUGUUUUUUUUAUCCUCUUAUGUUUGAUGAGUAGUAAAUGUUUAAGUUUUGUUUUUUUAUCCUCUUAUGUUUGAUGAGUAGUAAAUGUUUAAGUUGUUGUUUUUAUCCUCUUAUGUUUGAUGAGUAGUAAAUGUUUAAUUUGUUGUUUUUAUCCUCUUAUGUUUGAUGAGUAGUAAAUGUUUAAGUUGUUUUUUUUAUCCUCUUAUGUUUGAUGAGUAGUAAAUGUUUAAGUUGUUGUUUUUAUCCUCUUAUGUUUGAUGAGUAGUAAAUGUUUAAGUUGUUGUUUUUAUCCUCUUAUGUUUGAUGAGUAGUAAAUGUUUAAGUUGUUGUUUUUAUCCUCUUAUGUUUGAUGAGUAGUAAAUGUUUAAGUUGUUGUUUUUAUCCUCUUAUGUUUGAUGAGUAGUAAAUGUUUAAGUUGUUGUUUUUAUCCUCUUAUGUUUGAUGAGUAGUAAAUGUUUAAUUUGUUGUUUUUAUCCUCUUAUGUUUGAUGAGUAGUAAAUGUUUAAUUUGUUGUUUUUAUCCUCUUAUGUUUGAUGAGUAGUAAAUGUUUAAGUUGUUGUUUUUAUCCUCUUAUGUUUGAUGAGUAGUAAAUGUUUAAUUUGUUGUUUUUAUCCUCUUAUGUUUGAUGAGUAGUAAAUGUUUAAUUUGUUGCUUUUAUCCUCUUAUGUUUGAUGAGUAGUAAAUGUUUAAGUUGUUGUUUUUAUCCUCUUAUGUUUGAUGAGUAGUAAAUGUUUCAUUUGUUGUUUUUAUCCUCUUAUGUUUGAUGAGUAGUAAAUGUUUAAGUUGUUGUUUUUAUCCUCUUAUGUUUGAUGAGUAGUAAAUGUUUAAGUUGUUGUUUUUAUCCUCUUAUGUUUGAUGAGUAGUAAAUGUUUCAUUUGUUUUUUUCCUGUGAAGCACAUUGUGUUACAUUCCAUAUCUGAAAUGUGCUGUAUAAAUAAAGCCUGAUUUGUUCUGAUUUG
Molecule: long non-coding RNA, 1490 nt
Organism: Oncorhynchus tshawytscha (Chinook salmon)
Lineage: Eukaryota; Metazoa; Chordata; Actinopteri; Salmoniformes; Salmonidae
Source: Ensembl